This 65-nucleotide transfer RNA is filed under the name Dilophotes sp. F LB-2014. RNAcentral's name for it is "tRNA-Phe". The record is from RNAcentral. Lineage: Eukaryota; Metazoa; Arthropoda; Insecta; Coleoptera; Lycidae.
AUUUUAGUAGCUUAUUUAGAGUUUAAUAUUGAAGAUGUUAAGGAGGUCUUUUGAUUCUAGGAUAU